CUACCCCUUCACUUUUGUUCCACACAAAAAUUCCCCUUUUUUCUCCGUUCUUCUUUCUGUCGAUGUGGGAUUCCCAAAAGCUCUCUUCAAACAUGAAAGCUAGACACAAAUUUCCAAUCCAAGGCUUUCAAAAAAGCGAAGACCAAAACGGGAGCUUUGAUUUUGGGACGAGCUUUGUGGUGGUGUUAGAGGGAGGAGGUGCUUGAUGUGGAUUUGGUGCUAUCCUAGCUGAGCUUUUUUUUUUCGUCUACAUCCGUCAUGACCAUAUCCUUUCAUCUUCUACUACUUUCGCAUCGAUCCCUUCCCUUUUUCUUGACCUUGUAAGACCUUUUCUUGACCUUGUAAGAUGUCAUGCCAGGUCUGUUGUCUUUGUUUUGCAUUUCGCCCCAAGUUCUGCAUCGGAAUUAACCGAUAUAGAGCUUGGCCUUUGUUCCUCAUCGUUACCGCCCAAUUCAUCUUCUCCUUCCUUGUCUAUCCCUCCUGAGCUGUUCCACAAUUACCUCAAACUACAAGCCCACCAUAGCAAAGUCUUCCAUGAAAGCAAGGACUCUUUUGCUGGUGUUCCUCCAAGCAGGGUUGUAAAAAAAGUAGAAAUUCAGAAAUAUUAAUUAGCAGUGACAUUCAUAUAUGUUGUUUUUAUUCAGUAGGAAAUAAAUAAAAAUAAAAUUCUAUUUAUUAUUUAUUUUUGUUAUAAUUGCCUGCAGCUGUUACUUAUUCUGUGAAGGCAGAAAAUACAGAAAUAUGCUGUUGGCAGUCAUCAGUCAUCAGUUUCGUUGUUUUAUAUGUUGUUGGCUGAGAAAGUAAGAGAAUAAAUAUUCUCUCAGAUCUGUGUAAGACUUCCCACUCGUGACUGCUGUUUUUUAUUUUUUUCUAUCUCCUUUUUCUCGAAAGACUUAUUUGUAACCUGCACUGCCAGUAAAGUUCUUCAUCCAAAAGC
Long non-coding RNA from Pyrus x bretschneideri (Chinese white pear), 937 nucleotides. RefSeq lists it as uncharacterized. Lineage: Eukaryota; Viridiplantae; Streptophyta; Magnoliopsida; Rosales; Rosaceae. The transcript is spliced from 2 exons. The record is from RefSeq and is a predicted model, not a curated record.